This 914-nucleotide ribosomal RNA is filed under the name uncultured bacterium. RNAcentral describes it as "bacterial SSU rRNA". It matches the Rfam family "Bacterial small subunit ribosomal RNA", at positions 8 to 916 of the family's 1533-position model. The record is from RNAcentral.
AGAGUUUGAUCCUGGCUCAGAUUGAACGCUGGCGGCAGGCCUAACACAUGCAAGUCGAGCGGUAGAGAGAAGCUUGCUUCUCUUGAGAGCGGCGGACGGGUGAGUAAUGCCUAGGAAUCUGCCUGGUAGUGGGGGAUAACGCUCGGAAACGGACGCUAAUACCGCAUACGUCCUACGGGAGAAAGCAGGGGACCUUCGGGCCUUGCGCUAUCAGAUGAGCCUAGGUCGGAUUAGCUAGUUGGUGAGGUAAUGGCUCACCAAGGCGACGAUCCGUAACUGGUCUGAGAGGAUGAUCAGUCACACUGGAACUGAGACACGGUCCAGACUCCUACGGGAGGCAGCAGUGGGGAAUAUUGGACAAUGGGCGAAAGCCUGAUCCAGCCAUGCCGCGUGUGUGAAGAAGGUCUUCGGAUUGUAAAGCACUUUAAGUUGGGAGGAAGGGCAUUAACCUAAUACGUUGGUGUCUUGACGUUACCGACAGAAUAAGCACCGGCUAACUCUGUGCCAGCAGCCGCGGUAAUACAGAGGGUGCAAGCGUUAAUCGGAAUUACUGGGCGUAAAGCGCGCGUAGGUGGUUCGUUAAGUUGGAUGUGAAAUCCCCGGGCUCAACCUGGGAACUGCAUUCAAAACUGACGAGCUAGAGUAUGGUAGAGGGUGGUGGAAUUUCCUGUGUAGCGGUGAAAUGCGUAGAUAUAGGAAGGAACACCCAGUGGCGAAGGCGACCACCUGGACUGAUACUGACACUGAGGUGCGAAAGCGUGGGGAGCAAACAGGAUUAGAUACUCUGGUAGUCCACGCCGUAAACGAUGUCAACUAGCCGUUGGGAGCCUUGAGCUCUUAGUGGCGCAGCUAACGCAUUAAGUUGACCGCCUGGGGAGUACGGCCGCAAGGUUAAAACUCAAAUGAAUUGACGG